GACGAACGCUGGCGGCGUGCUUAACACAUGCAAGUCGAACGGAAAGGCCCUGCUUUUGUGGGGUGCUCGAGUGGCGAACGGGUGAGUAACACGUGAGUAACCUGCCCUUGACUUUGGGAUAACUUCAGGAAACUGGGGCUAAUACCGGAUAGGAGCUCCUGCUGCAUGGUGGGGGUUGGAAAGUUUCGGCGGCUGGGGAUGGACUCGCGGCUUAUCAGCUUGUUGGUGGGGUAGUGGCUUACCAAGGCUUUGACGGGUAGCCGGCCUGAGAGGGUGACCGGCCACAUUGGGACUGAGAUACGGCCCAGACUCCUACGGGAGGCAGCAGUGGGGAAUAUUGCGCAAUGGGCGGAAGCCUGAUGCAGCAACGCCGCGUGCGGGAUGACGGCCUUCGGGUUGUAAACCGCUUUCGCCUGUGACGAAGCGUGAGUGACGGUAAUGGGUAAAGAAGCACCGGCUAACUACGUG
RNAcentral lists this ribosomal RNA (468 nucleotides) under uncultured bacterium. RNAcentral's name for it is "partial 16S ribosomal RNA". It matches the Rfam family "Bacterial small subunit ribosomal RNA", at positions 28 to 507 of the family's 1533-position model. The record is from RNAcentral.